This 356-nucleotide ribosomal RNA is filed under the name uncultured Pseudomonas sp. RNAcentral describes it as "bacterial SSU rRNA". It matches the Rfam family "Bacterial small subunit ribosomal RNA", at positions 1029 to 1382 of the family's 1533-position model. The record is from RNAcentral. Lineage: Bacteria; Pseudomonadati; Pseudomonadota; Gammaproteobacteria; Pseudomonadales; Pseudomonadaceae.
CUGACACAGGUGCUGCAUGGCUGUCGUCAGCUCGUGUCGUGAGAUGUGGGUUAAGUCCGUAACGAGCGCAACCCUUGUCCUUAGUUACCAGCACGUUAUGGUGGGCGACUCUAAGGAGGACUGCCGGUGGACAAACCGGAGGAAGGUGGGGAGUGACGUCAAGUCAUCAUGGCCCUUACGGCCUGGGCUACACACGUGCUACAAUGGUCGGUACAAAGGGUUGCCAAGCCGCGAGGUGGAGCUAAUCCCAUAAAACCGAUCGUAGUCCGGAUCGCAGUCUGCAACUCGACUGCGUGAAGUCGGAAUCGCUAGUAAUCGUGAAUCAGAAUGUCACGGUGAAUACGUUCCCGGGCCUU